GUUUUGUACCUUCAGGUAAUUAUUUAUUGCUCAUUAAUGUUCUUUUCUCUCUAAUUGAAGUACUCUCCUUAGCAUUUAUCAUAGGAUGGGUCUGGUGUUAAUGAAAUCCCUCAGAUUUUGCUUGUCUGGGAAAGUCCUUAUUCCAUCUUCAUGUUUAAAGAAUAUUUUCACCAGAUACACUAUUCCAGGGUAAAUUUUUUUUCCUUCAGCACUUUAAAUAUGUCUUGCCGCUCUCUCCUUGCCUAUAAGAUUUCCCUUGAAAAGUCUGCUGCAAGACAUAUUGGACUCCAUUGUUGUUAUUUGUUUCUUUCCUCUUGCUGCUUUUAGUAUCAUGUCUUUAUCUUUGACCUUUGGGAGCGUGAUUAUUAAAUGCCUUGAGGUAGUCUUCUUUGGGUUAACCCUGCUUGGUGUUCUACAGCCUUCUUGUUCUUCGAUAUUGAUAUCUUUUUCUAGGUUUGGGAAGUUCUCUGUUAUUAUUCCUUUGAAUAAACUUUCUACCCCUAUCUUUUUCUCUACCUCCUCUUGAAAUCCAAUAACUUUUAGAUUUGACCUUUUGAAGCUAUAUAAUAGAUCUUGUAGGCAUACUUCUUUUUAUUAUUCUUUUUUCGUCUCCUCUGACUUUGUAUUUUCAAAUAGCUUGUUUUGAGCUCACUAAUUAUUAUUUCUGCUUUGUCAGUUCUGCUAUUAAAGAACUAAUGCAUUCUUCCGUAUGCCAAUUGUAUUUCUCAACUCCAGAAUUUCUGCCUAAUUCUUUUUAAAUUAUUCCAAUCCCUUAGUUAAAUUUCUCUGAUAAAAUUCCAAAUUUCUUCUCAGUGUUAUCUUGAAUUUCUUUGAUUUUCUUCAAUACAGCUAUUUUUAAUUCUCUAUAUAAAAGGUCAUAUAUCUCUGUUUCUCCAGGAUUCAUCCCUGGAACCUGGUUUAGUUUAUUUAGUGAAGUCAUGUUGUCCUGGAUGGUGUUGAUGCUAGAUGUUCUUUGGUGUCUGAACAUUGAUGAGUUAGGUAUUUAUUGUAGUCUUCACUGACUGGGCUUAUUUGUAGUUUUCCUUCUUGGAAAAGCUUUCCAGAUAUUUGGAAGGACUUGGGUGUUGUCAUGUAAACUAUAUCUUCUUUAUGGGGCACCCCACGCCCAUGGUUCUUGAAGACUUAUAGAGACACCACAUUGAUGGUCUUGGGCAAAAUCCAGGAGAGUUCUUAUCAGGAUUACCAGGGAGACUCUUGCUCUCUUUCCUUACUUUCUCCCAAACAUACAGAGACUCUCUCUCUGUUCUGAGCCAGCUGAUGCUGGGGGUGGAGUGACACAAGCACCUCUAUGGCCACCACUACUAUGACUACACUGGGUCAGACCCGAAGCCAUCACAGUGCUGUUUUGCCUAAGGCCUGCUGUAAAAACUCCCUGGCGACUAUCUGUGUUCUCUCAAGGUCCUUGGACUCUACAAUCAGCAAGUGGCAAAGCCAUCCAGGCUUGUAUCCUUUUCUUUAGAGUGGUGAUGUCCCCCAGGCCCUGGGUGGGUCCAUAUGUGCUGUACAGGAGUCAUGAACUAGAGUCAAAAACCUCAGAACUUUACCUGGUGUUCUAUUGUAUUGUGACUGGGCUGGCACUCAAACCAUAAGACAAAGUCCUUCCCACUCUUCCUUUCCCUUUCCAAAGGUAGAGGAGUCGCACCCCAUAACCACCACCACCCCAGGCCAUGAGGAGUACUGCCAGACUACUGCCAAUGUUCCCUUAUGGCCCAAGGUCUCUUAAGUCAGCUUGUUGUGAAUGCUGCCUGUCUGGGAAUCACCCUUUAAGGCAGUUGGCUUCCCUCUGACCUGGGAUAGGUCCAAAAAUGCUGUCCAAAAGCCAAGUCUUAGAAUUGGGGACCCCAGGAGCAUGGUUGUUGCUUUAUCUUCAUGUGGCUGGCCUGGUACUUCAGAAUAGUAGAACAAGGAGUCUGUUGCUUUAAC
RNAcentral lists this long non-coding RNA (1944 nucleotides) under Homo sapiens (human). Its description in RNAcentral is "non-protein coding lnc-PTPRD-2:1". The record is from RNAcentral. Lineage: Eukaryota; Metazoa; Chordata; Mammalia; Primates; Hominidae.